This 717-nucleotide ribosomal RNA is filed under the name Bacillus cereus. Its description in RNAcentral is "bacterial SSU rRNA". It matches the Rfam family "Bacterial small subunit ribosomal RNA", at positions 56 to 755 of the family's 1533-position model. The record is from RNAcentral. Lineage: Bacteria; Bacillati; Bacillota; Bacilli; Caryophanales; Bacillaceae.
UGCAGUCGAGCGAAUGGAUUGAGAGCUUGCUCUCAAGAAGUUAGCGGCGGACGGGUGAGUAACACGUGGGUAACCUGCCCAUAAGACUGGGAUAACUCCGGGAAACCGGGGCUAAUACCGGAUAACAUUUUGAACUGCAUGGUUCGAAAUUGAAAGGCGGCUUCGGCUGUCACUUAUGGAUGGACCCGCGUCGCAUUAGCUAGUUGGUGAGGUAACGGCUCACCAAGGCAACGAUGCGUAGCCGACCUGAGAGGGUGAUCGGCCACACUGGGACUGAGACACGGCCCAGACUCCUACGGGAGGCAGCAGUAGGGAAUCUUCCGCAAUGGACGAAAGUCUGACGGAGCAACGCCGCGUGAGUGAUGAAGGCUUUCGGGUCGUAAAACUCUGUUGUUAGGGAAGAACAAGUGCUAGUUGAAUAAGCUGGCACCUUGACGGUACCUAACCAGAAAGCCACGGCUAACUACGUGCCAGCAGCCGCGGUAAUACGUAGGUGGCAAGCGUUAUCCGGAAUUAUUGGGCGUAAAGCGCGCGCAGGUGGUUUCUUAAGUCUGAUGUGAAAGCCCACGGCUCAACCGUGGAGGGUCAUUGGAAACUGGGAGACUUGAGUGCAGAAGAGGAAAGUGGAAUUCCAUGUGUAGCGGUGAAAUGCGUAGAGAUAUGGAGGAACACCAGUGGCGAAAGCGACUUUCUGGUCUGUAACUGACACUGAGCGCG